UCCAACUUAUCGCUGGCGGUCUCCUGAGAGUGCAUCCCUGCGGAUUAGCAACACAGGACAAGGGUUGCGCUCGUUGCGGGACUUAACCCAACAUCUCACGACACGAGCUGACGACAGCCAUGCAGCACCUCGACCCCACUCCCUUGCGGGAUAGCAGUGUUUCCACUGCCGUUGAGAGGCCGUUCGAGCCCAGGUAAGGUUCUUCGCGUUGCAUCGAAUUAAGCCACAUGCUCCGCCGCUUGUGCGGGUCCCCGUCAAUUCCUUUGAGUUUUAGCCUUGCGGCCGUACUCCCCAGGCGGAGUGCUUAAUGCGUUAGCUGCGGCACAGAGAGGGUUGAAGGCCUCCCCACACCUAGCACUCAACGUUUACGGCUGGGACUAC
RNAcentral lists this unclassified non-coding RNA (381 nucleotides) under uncultured bacterium. RNAcentral describes it as "contains 16S-23S intergenic spacer region". The record is from RNAcentral.